RNAcentral lists this ribosomal RNA (470 nucleotides) under uncultured bacterium. Its description in RNAcentral is "bacterial SSU rRNA". It matches the Rfam family "Bacterial small subunit ribosomal RNA", at positions 98 to 600 of the family's 1533-position model. The record is from RNAcentral.
GCGUACGGGUGAGUAACACGUGACUAACCUACCCUCGAGUGGGGAAUAACUUCGGGAAACCGAGGCUAAUACCGCAUGACAUCUACGGAUCAAAUGCGCAAGCAGCUUGAGGAGGGGGUCGCGGCUGAUUAGCUAGUUGGCGGGGUAACGGCCCACCAAGGCAAUGAUCAGUAGCCGGCCUGAGAGGGCGCACGGCCACACUGGAACUGAAACACGGUCCAGACUCCUACGGGAGGCAGCAGUGGGGAAUUUUGCGCAAUGGGGGAAACCCUGACGCAGCAACGCCGCGUGGAGGAUGAAGCCCCUUGGGGUGUAAACUCCUUUCGAUCGGGACGAUUAUGACGGUACCGGAUGAAGAAGCACCGGCUAACUCUGUGCCAGCAGCCGCGGUAAUACAGAGGGUGCAAGCGUUGUUCGGAAUUAUUGGGCGUAAAGGGUGCGUANGCGGUGCGGUAAGUCUUCUGUGAAAC